UGACCCAUCAGAGUGACUGUGAAAUGUUGGUUAAUUUCAUAUCACAGCCAGCUUUGAUGAGCUCAG
RNAcentral lists this microRNA precursor (66 nucleotides) under Mytilus galloprovincialis (Mediterranean mussel). RNAcentral describes it as "mir-2 microRNA precursor family". It matches the Rfam family "mir-2 microRNA precursor family". From Rfam's summary of the family: The miRNAs are transcribed as ~70nt precursors (modelled here) and subsequently processed by the Dicer enzyme to give a ~22nt product. In this case the mature sequence comes from the 3' arm of the precursor. The record is from Rfam by way of RNAcentral. Lineage: Eukaryota; Metazoa; Mollusca; Bivalvia; Mytilida; Mytilidae.